Molecule: unclassified non-coding RNA, 317 nt
Filed under: uncultured fungus
Lineage: Eukaryota; Fungi
Description: partial contains 5.8S ribosomal RNA, internal transcribed spacer 2, and large subunit ribosomal RNA
Source: RNAcentral
GAACGCACCUUGCACUCUUUGGUAUUCCGAAGAGUACGCCUGUUCGAGUGUCGUGAAACUCUCAAGCUGGAUGGGCUUUAUUGUCUGUCUCAGAUUGGAUGUGUACUCUGCUGUGUAAUAACGGCUGGUCUUAAAGGCAUUAGCUGAAUCUUGAAUAUGGGACUUGGUUCUACUCGGCGUGAUAAUUAUCUACCGCUGAGGACAUCUUUCGGGAUGGCCAGACUCUUUCUCGAAUCGCUUUCUAAUCUGGUUUGCCUUUUGGCACCACUUUUUCAACCUUUGACCUCGAAUCAGGCGGGACUACCCGCUGAACUUAA